Molecule: ribosomal RNA, 693 nt
Filed under: Arnoglossus imperialis (imperial scaldfish)
Lineage: Eukaryota; Metazoa; Chordata; Actinopteri; Pleuronectiformes; Bothidae
Description: partial 16S ribosomal RNA
Rfam family: Bacterial large subunit ribosomal RNA
Source: RNAcentral
GCAGAGCUAAGACCUCGUACCUUUUGCAUCAUGAAUUAGCCAGUACAAGCAGGCAAGGGGCACCGAAGCCUGUCACCCCGAAACUGAGUGAGCUACUCCAGGACAGCCUAUUGUAGGGCACACCCGUCUCUGUGGCAAAAGAGUGGGAAGAUCCUUGAGUAGAAGUGACAAACUUACCGAACCCAGUAAUAGCUGGUUGUCUGAGAAAUGGAUAUGAGUUCAGCCGCACUACUUCUUUUAAAGAAGAGCGAGUUAUUCGAAGGGGGUACAGCCCCUUUGAAACAGGAAACAACCUUAUAAGGAGGAUAAAGAUUAUGAUAUUUAAGGGACAGUGACUGAGUGGGCCUAAAAGCAGCCACCUCCGAAGAAAGCGUCAAAGCUCAACCACACUAUUCCAAUAAACCCAGUCCGAAGCCCCACACCUAUAACAGACCUUUCUACUAUAAGUAGAAGUGAACAUGCUAGUAUGAGUAAUAAGAGGCGAGCCUCUCCCAGCACACACAUAAGUCAGCACGGACAACCCACCGAUAAUUAACGGACCCAAGAAGAGAGGGCAAUGACAGACAGCCAGAAAAGUAUUCCCCGUUGACCCCACACUGGUGUGCUUAAGGGAAAGACCAAAUGAAAGAGAAGGAACUCGGCAAAAAAGCCUCGCCUGUUUACCAAAAACAUCGCCUCUUGCUAGAAUAAGAG